RNAcentral lists this ribosomal RNA (301 nucleotides) under uncultured bacterium. RNAcentral's name for it is "partial 16S ribosomal RNA". It matches the Rfam family "Bacterial small subunit ribosomal RNA", at positions 509 to 807 of the family's 1533-position model. The record is from RNAcentral.
CAGUCGCCACGGUAAUACGAAGGGUGCAAGCGUUACUCGGAAUUACUGGGCGUAAAGCGUGUGUAGGUGGUUGUUUAAGUCUGUCGUGAAAGCCCUGGGCUCAACCUGGGAAUUGCGAUGGAUACUGGGCGACUAGAGUGCGGUAGAGGAUAGUGGAAUUUCCGGUGUAGCAGUGAAAUGCGUAGAGAUCGGAAGGAACAUCUGUGGCGAAGGCGACUAUCUGGGCCAACACUGACACUGAGACACGAAAGCGUGGGGAGCAAACAGGAUUAGAUACCCCUGUAGUCCCUGUCUCUUAUAC